GUGCAAUCCAGUAUCCGCAUUCUGCAAUCAUCUUUUCUGCCGCCAGUCUGCUUGGUCUACACUCCGCAACAAAAUUAAUCUGUUGGCCGUUUCCGCUUGUCGCUUUGUCCGCAUAUUGAAGAUGACAGAAAACAAGGAAGAAAAAAUGCACACAACCUUCAGAAGAAAAGAUAUUAAUCGCCUACCAGUGACAGAGACCACAACCUUAGUAUCCAGUUAUCCAUCAAUCAUCAGUCACCACUCUCGUCGAAGUUACAAUCUGACGAGUACAUCCACUUGCGUGACGCCAUCGCUACUGAAGGAGACGUGACCAACAUUGGUCAUUUGACCAUUCUCUCAGCUACUCAUGUUGGAAGCCCA
This is a long non-coding RNA of Metopolophium dirhodum (rose-grain aphid), 360 nucleotides long. RefSeq lists it as uncharacterized. The record is from RefSeq and is a predicted model, not a curated record. Lineage: Eukaryota; Metazoa; Arthropoda; Insecta; Hemiptera; Aphididae. The transcript has 3 exons.